AUUGAACGCUGGCGGCAGGCCUAACACAUGCAAGUCGAGCGAGCGGCGGACGGGGGAGUAAUGUAUGGGGACUGCCCGAUAGAGGGGGAUAACUACUGGAAACGGUAGCUAAUACCGCAUACUAUCGGAUAACCCAUAUGGGAUUAGCUAGUAGGUGAGGGAAUGGCGCACCGAGGCGACGAUCCCUAGCUGGUCUGAGAGGAUGAUCAGCCACACUGGGAUGGAGACACGGCCCAGACUCCUACGGAGGCAGCAGUGGGGAAUAUUGCACAAUGGGAGCAAGCCUGAUGCAGCCAUGCCGCGUGUAUGAAGAAGGCCCUAGGGUUGUAAAGUACUUUCAGUGGGGAGGCGUUACCGACAGAAGAAGCACCGGCUAACUCCGUGCCAGCAGCCGCGGUAAUAC
RNAcentral lists this ribosomal RNA (403 nucleotides) under uncultured bacterium. RNAcentral describes it as "partial 16S ribosomal RNA". It matches the Rfam family "Bacterial small subunit ribosomal RNA", at positions 29 to 526 of the family's 1533-position model. The record is from RNAcentral.